GAAGGUAUAGCUCAGUGGUAGAGUGCGUGCUUAACGUGCAGGAGGUCCUGCGUUCAAUCCCCAGUACCUCUA
RNAcentral lists this transfer RNA (72 nucleotides) under Camelus bactrianus (Bactrian camel). It matches the Rfam family "tRNA". From Rfam's summary of the family: Transfer RNA (tRNA) molecules are approximately 80 nucleotides in length. Lineage: Eukaryota; Metazoa; Chordata; Mammalia; Artiodactyla; Camelidae. The record is from Rfam by way of RNAcentral. RNAcentral also lists the same sequence under 2 other names.